This 253-nucleotide ribosomal RNA is filed under the name uncultured bacterium. Its description in RNAcentral is "partial 16S ribosomal RNA". It matches the Rfam family "Bacterial small subunit ribosomal RNA", at positions 524 to 776 of the family's 1533-position model. The record is from RNAcentral.
GACGUAGGGGGCCAGCGUUGCUCGGCAUUACUGGGCGUAAAGGGUUCGUAGGCGGUGCGACAAGUCGGAAGUGAAAUCUCCGGGCUUAACUCGGAGGCUGCUCCCGAAACUGCCGUGCUGGAGUGCGGGAGAGGCGAGUGGAAUUGCAGGUGUAGCGGUGAAAUGCGUAGAUAUCUGCAGGAACAUCCGAGGCGAAGGCGGCUCGCUGGAUCACAACUGACGCUGAGGGACGAAAGCUAGGGGAGCAAACAGG